CUAAACGGUUUCUAAAUAUCCCAACCCGAAUAACGUAAAAACCGAAUAAACCGACUCGAACCGAAAACCCGAAUGCCCAUGACUACACCUUACGAGUAAUAUCCACAGCAACAUCAACAUGAAUUUUGUUAUCUAUAUCAAACGAUAAAUGAAAUAAAACAUUGUAUUACCAAAAACUAUCUUUCUUUUUUUUUGAACACCAAAAACUAUCUUUUAUAAAUAAAAAAAGUCCAAAAACUAUGUCUACAACUAAAAACUAUAUUAAUGCAACCAUCAAAAGCUAUAUGAACAUGGGAAGGUUGGAAAGAUAAGAAAAAAGAAGAAAACACUUUUAGACAGAUUAUGAUUUGUGAGUCAGAUGUUCAGAGCUCUGAAGGUGCUUCUCGUUCCAAAACCUCUCGGUUUGUUCGUUUCGGUACAGCGUUUCCUGUAGACAGAGAAUUCUGACAGAGCAUGUAGAGACAGAACAAACAUAGUCCUGUUUCAGACAGAAGAGAUAAUAGUCACAAACAGGUUAUCCGAUUGGUUUACAUACAUUUCAAUACGAGGAGGAAGAAGAAGAAUAUCCUGAAUGAAUGUCCAAAAGUUUUGUUAAAUUGCUUCGUUUCCUUCAUCUUUUAUCAAAUACUACAAUAUAUAGUCUUAACAACUGAAAACUAUUAUAUGGUGGUUACUUGCAUAAGCAAUGGUCACACCCGGUAUUAUUCGUCUCAGAGCUGCCAAGAAGAAACAUUCCUAGUUCACACAAAUCCAGUUUAGAAAUUUGACAAUACAUAGAACCUGAAAACAUCGUCAUUUGUCUUGUUAUUGAGUAAAUACACACAAUGUUCAGAAUUUUGCAGAAUGUUAGUCAAUGGUCUUAAACAUAAUAAGUAAAUGCUUUAGUUUUAUACUUUUGCCAUGCAGGCAGGCACUCGGAUAAACACAGGUGGUCUAAUAGAACUAUCUCUGCUACUGUAAUAACGGAGAGACUGGAUAGAUGAAACUUGCCUUAACAAAUAGCCUCUUGUCAUGGCCCGUUGCUGUAACUCGCAAAACGGAUUCAGCUGCUCCGACAGUAUUAGCUAAGAGUGUAAUGAUGUUACAUGCUGUAACCUGUGAUAUUUGCCACUCCAAUGGAUCCACAGGUACCCUUCACAUAAAAAAAAGUUUUUACUUUGUAGAUCAUGUGACUGCAAGUAUCUUCCAAACAGUGCAAAGUGAUCAUCAUAUCAACAACACUUCUGGGUUUAUGACUUCUGCAUUGAUCGUAGAAGAGGUAUGAGAAUUAUAGAGUUAUGAGGAUGACACAGUGAUACACAACCAAAAACUUGUGUGGCUUCUGGAUAUCAAACGCAGAUAGUUUCACAGAGACAAAAGAUUGAGCUCUGUAUCCUAAUCUGUAAUGAUGAAACCACGCUCAAAUCAAGCAAAAGCACACUCUAUUUGAACAUACACUCGAUUAUGUAAAACUAAAGACCGCAAAAGCACAGGUUUGAUUUGCCGGUUAGACUUCGGUUCUAAUACAAAUGUCCGUUCGGUUAAUGAGUUAAGAAACCCCAACUAGUUUCGAAUCUAGACAGUUCAGUUACGUGAGCUGAGCCCACGACAGAAGAUGAUUUCAGAAAUUUAUUGGACUUUUAUUGGUGGGUUAAGCCAGGUCCGUGCCGUAGUGCAACGCAUGGACGACUCAUGAAAACCCAGAUAGCAAGCUAUCUUAAUGGGUUUUCUCCCUUAAAACAUAGAGUUAAUAUCGUGUGGUCCGAUGGACCACAUAUCAGAUAUUAAACUGAUAAGAACAGAUACUACACUUGAUCUUAGCCAAAAGGCCGAGAAAGGUAUGAAUUGGACGUUGUAUACGACGUGCUUUAUAUACACAAUUGAAUUAAAGCGAACAUAUCUUCAGUAACCGAUGUGGGACGAAGAAAACUCAAAGAAGCUUGUUAUUUUCGUCUCAACUGUUAAUUAAUUGUCACGUGUUGCACGUGGCUGGUGUACUAGUGUAGGAUGUGAUUCGAAGUGGCCACUCUUCUUUGUUCACUGGCUACGAUCUUUCUUCUCUGUUUCAACGACAGUUAGAUUGUUACGGGUUCUGUAUUUCAUUCAAGCUCUAGCUUAGCACUAUUUUUGGUAUCUUUUUGUUAAUGUCACAGAGGAUUCUAAAGACUAUUACAAAGCAAUCUGGUGAGUGGUGAUGUUUCAUGUAUACAUGCUUCGUGGGGUGUCUGUUCCAGCUCUUGACAAAGAUUGUCCUUGGGAGUUCCUGCCCCAAUAUAUUAGAUUAUUAGGUGGUGACUUGCAUGCUGUAAGUUAGCUGGAUGCUUCCACAUUCUGUUCCUUAAAUUGAGAACAGCUUUUCUGACAGUCACGGUAAUAUAUGAAAUGCAGACAGUCUUUGAGAACACACUGAAGUUUCAGAAGGAGUUGAUAAAAGAUUCCGAUGUUUUGGUAUAGACAAAAUAAUAUAGACCUGUGUACUCAAACUCAAUAAAGUUAUUGGCAGCCCUCUAAUGGUUCAAAGGAGUUGAUAAAAGAUUCCAAUGUGUGUUUUCUUUUUCAUUAAGAGAGUGGAGAUCACACAAUUGAAAUGUUAAGAGACAACACAAUAUAGAUCCAACAGAAGUUAUUUAACAAUGACAAAUCGAUAAGCAGAGUUGAAGAAAGGCA
Brassica rapa (field mustard) is the source of this 2646-nucleotide long non-coding RNA. RefSeq lists it as uncharacterized. Lineage: Eukaryota; Viridiplantae; Streptophyta; Magnoliopsida; Brassicales; Brassicaceae. The record is from RefSeq and is a predicted model, not a curated record.